Molecule: long non-coding RNA, 943 nt
Filed under: Mus musculus (house mouse)
Lineage: Eukaryota; Metazoa; Chordata; Mammalia; Rodentia; Muridae
Description: oppositely-transcribed, rearranged locus on the Y, transcript variant 3 (Orly)
Source: RNAcentral
AGAAGGUGUGUCCACUAUUUUCCCAGUGGUGUAUGAAAGGCAGGCCAGCUCCUGAACCCCAACGUUGUUCCUCAAGUUUUUUUUGCCUGGUCUGUAUCAAAAGACAGAAUCUUGAUGACUAAGACAUUUUCUUUGGUACUACAAGAAGAAUCCAGCUCUCUACUUCUAUCAGCUCCUGGAUGACUACAAGAAAGGGAACCUCCACAUCAUUCCAGACACUCCUCUGGCUGAGGAAAGAUCAGGAGAUGACAGUGAUGUGUUGAUAGACCCAGGAGAUGAACAUAUGCCUGAGAAGAAGAACUAGUGUGGAACUGUCAGCCAGGUUUUUGAUGAGUGCUCAGACUGCUUCCUGAUCCAGCACCACAUUUACUAUAGUGGACAGAUGCUCUAGUCUCUGAUGAGGAGUUGCUAGCUGUUAGGAAGAACCUGGAAUGGGCUCCACUGCAUGAGGUUUGAAGUCUCCAGAGCAGCAAAGAGAGUGGGGAGUAGAACUCAUCAUCUUUAGGUCACUCAGCAUCGAUGGGUUGUUUGCAACCUUAGUAUACAGACAUGGAUGGUUGAACACAAACCUGUCAGGCUGAUAAAGAACUAGACAUCUACUAACGUCCUUGGAACCAUGUUCAGAUUGCUGCACAUCCUCCUGAAGAUGCCACAGAUGACAUGGUUCCUUGUGAUUGUUGUUCUCUUCUUGUUGUUGCUGUUUUCUUUUAACUUUUGAAGAGGAUACUUUAUUAGUCUGUUGCUAUGUUAGUCAUCUCCUGGCAUUAGAAACCAACAUCCCACUGUUUAAAUGUUUUACAUUUCCUACUCUUUUUGGAAAACACAACGUAUGCGCAUCAUUUUUUCCUAUUGUUUCAAAGACAUACCACUAUGUAAUUCAACUUUACAAUUGUAAACAUUUUGACCAAUAUUCACAUGAAUAUAAAUUUUAUGUGUAAAAUUC